Molecule: ribosomal RNA, 646 nt
Filed under: Schizonycha increta
Lineage: Eukaryota; Metazoa; Arthropoda; Insecta; Coleoptera; Scarabaeidae
Description: eukaryotic LSU rRNA
Rfam family: Eukaryotic large subunit ribosomal RNA
Source: RNAcentral
GGACCAAGGAGUCUAGCAUGUGCGCGAGUCAUUGGGACUCUAACGAAACCUAAAGGCGCAAUGAAAGUGAAGGUUCGCCUCGCGCGAACCGAGGGAGGAUGGGUGGUCGCAAGUGGCCGCCCCGCACUCCCGGGGCGUCUCGUUCUCAUCGCGAGAAGAGGCGCACCCAGAGCGUACACGCUGGGACCCGAAAGAUGGUGAACUAUGCCUGGUCAGGACGAAGUCAGGGGAAACCCUGAUGGAGGUCCGUAGCGAUUCUGACGUGCAAAUCGAUCGUCGGAACUGGGUAUAGGGGCGAAAGACUAAUCGAACCAUCUAGUAGCUGGUUCCCUCCGAAGUUUCCCUCAGGAUAGCUGGCGCUCGCUUCUUGCGAGUCUCAUUCGGUAAAGCGAAUGAUUAGAGGCAUUGGGGUCGAAACGGCCUCAACCUAUUCUCAAACUUUAAAUGGGUGAGAUCUCCGGCUUGCUUGAACUGUGAAGCCGCGAGAUAUCGGAUCAGAGUGCCAAGUGGGCCACUUUUGGUAAGCAGAACUGGCGCUGUGGGAUGAACCAAACGCCGAGUUAAAGCGCCUAAAUCGACGCUUAUGGGAUACCAUGAAAGGCGUUGGUAACUUAAGACAGCAGGACGGUGGCCAUGGAAGUCGGAA